RNAcentral lists this long non-coding RNA (239 nucleotides) under Elaeis guineensis (African oil palm). RNAcentral's name for it is "long non-coding RNA (EGUI_LNC025484)". Lineage: Eukaryota; Viridiplantae; Streptophyta; Magnoliopsida; Arecales; Arecaceae. The record is from RNAcentral.
CUGGAGAGUUUCAAGAUUUUAAAGAAAGAACCUCCGGAAGCAUUGCUAAUCGGCAAGCUUUAUAAGAGAUAGAUUGCACACUAGAUGCUGCUGCCAGUUGGUUAUUAAUUCAGCUAUAAAUGCCGUAUUGCAUGAACGAGAAAAAAUGAUAUAACACAGUAAUAAGAAUAGCUGAUUCAAUUAUAAAUAUCAUGUAUGAACAACUAAAAGCGGGCAAACAUGAUAACUAUGUUUACUUG